AGACAGCAGUCGCCACGGGAAUACGUAGGUGGCAAGCGUUGUCCGGAAUUAUUGGGCGUAAAGCGCGCGCAGGUGGUUUAAUAAGUCUGAUGUGAAAGCCCACGGCUCAACCGUGGAGAGUCAUUGGAAACUGUUAAACUUGAGUGCAGGAGAGAAAAGUGGAAUUCCUAGUGUAGCGGUGAAAUGCGUAGAGAUUAGGAGGAACACCAGUGGCGAAGGCGGCUUUUUGGCCUGUAACUGACACUGAGGCGCGAAAGCGUGGGGAGCAAACAGGAUUAGAUACCCGGGUAGUCCCUGUCUCUUAUAC
Molecule: ribosomal RNA, 307 nt
Filed under: uncultured bacterium
Lineage: Bacteria
Description: partial 16S ribosomal RNA
Rfam family: Bacterial small subunit ribosomal RNA
Source: RNAcentral